UACCAGAAAUUAUUUGUAAAAUAACACCUAAGGAUGGUUUCAGGCCUGUUGACUUGGUUUCAUGGCGUUGACCACCAUGUGUCCACGUGCGCCGAUUUACCCCCUUCCCUUCUAAUUUUUUUACCAUUUCUUUCCCUCCAACUCUAUUUUCUCUCUCCACUCAAUUUCUUUCUCUCUCCUCUCAAUUACUUCGCUCUGUGUUGCUGCUCACAUCACCAUUAAAAGCUUCUAGAAGUUGCUCGGCCAUGGCAGUGACAAACUGAAUGCUUCAAUUCGUGGUUUAAAUUUGGCCAAGGAAUUGGGGGAUAAAAGGAAUGAUGUGGCUCCAAACCAUGCUGCUUCUUCAGGGAAAAUUCCUCCUAUCCUUGCUGUGAUAAUCCUUCUUGACUCGCAACUAUACUUGUUAUGAUGUGUGCUACUUGGUUCUGCAGGAAAAAAUCGUCUUUAAAAACAUAACGUUGAACAUAGUGUAGAAAACUAUGAGAUUCACACAAAGUAUUCGUUAGAACUGCAGCUCAUGACUACCCUUCAGGUUGGAUCCCCCCUUAAGGCAUUAUCAUGUUGAAUGUGGACGCUAAUAAUUUGGUCUCUAGAUCACAUGUUGGGUUGGGGGUGGUUGCGAAAAAUGAGCUUGCAAUUGGGCAAUGUUGCUUGCUUCAGUUAAGAGGUAUGAAGUGCCGUGGGAAGAAGAACAAACAACACACUUGUCCUUAAACCACUUUUAAUGGUUUUCUCUUACAUAUCAACUUUAAUUUUAUAAAGUUUGCCUUUGAAUUAUUUUUCCAACAGAACAAACAUGAGGAGUUUUUUCAAGGUCUUUUUUUCCAUUCGUGUUAUGUUAGUGUGUGGGAUCGUUGUGCGGUGCUUGUGA
Long non-coding RNA from Chenopodium quinoa (quinoa), 871 nucleotides. RefSeq lists it as uncharacterized. Lineage: Eukaryota; Viridiplantae; Streptophyta; Magnoliopsida; Caryophyllales; Amaranthaceae. The record is from RefSeq and is a predicted model, not a curated record. The transcript has 2 exons.